AAUUAAAACAUAAUGGAAUAAAAUAAUGUUUUCGGUUAGUAUUGCGAUAACUUACAACUAGCAUCAUGACAGUUAUCAACUAAUUGACUGAGAACGCGCAUAAGCAUAUUUUCAGAUUAUCUAAAAUACUUAAUUAAAAAGACAAACAGACUAAGACAUAAUUCUAAGGUGACUUACGAGAAUCGCAAAAUUUUUUAAAUAAG
This is a long non-coding RNA of Ceratosolen solmsi marchali, 203 nucleotides long. RefSeq lists it as uncharacterized. The transcript is spliced from 3 exons. NCBI's taxonomy places the organism in Eukaryota, Metazoa, Arthropoda, Insecta, Hymenoptera, Agaonidae. The record is from RefSeq and is a predicted model, not a curated record.